This 254-nucleotide ribosomal RNA is filed under the name uncultured bacterium. RNAcentral's name for it is "partial 16S ribosomal RNA". It matches the Rfam family "Bacterial small subunit ribosomal RNA", at positions 524 to 776 of the family's 1533-position model. The record is from RNAcentral.
UACGUAGGGGGCGAGCGUUGUCCGGAUUUAUUGGGCGUAAAGAGCUCGUAGGCGGUUUGGUAAGUCGGGUGUGAAAUCUCCACGCUCAACGUGGAGGGGCCACUCGAUACUGCCAUGACUCGAGUCCGGUAGAGGAGUGUGGAAUUCCCGGUGUAGCGGUGAAAUGCGCAGAUAUCGGGAGGAACACCCGUAGCGAAGGCGGCGCUCUGGGCCGGAACUGACGCUGAGACGCGAAAGCGUGGGGAGCGAACAGG